This 67-nucleotide transfer RNA is filed under the name Marmota marmota marmota (Alpine marmot). It matches the Rfam family "tRNA". Rfam says of the family: Transfer RNA (tRNA) molecules are approximately 80 nucleotides in length. Their secondary structure includes four short double-helical elements and three loops (D, anti-codon, and T loops). Further hydrogen bonds mediate the characteristic L-shaped molecular structure. tRNAs have two regions of fundamental functional importance: the anti-codon, which is responsible for specific mRNA codon recognition, and the 3' end, to which the tRNAs corresponding amino acid is attached (by aminoacyl-tRNA synthetases). tRNAs cope with the degeneracy of the genetic code in two manners: having more than one tRNA (with a specific anti-codon) for a particular amino acid; and 'wobble' base-pairing, i.e. permitting non-standard base-pairing at the 3rd anti-codon position. Lineage: Eukaryota; Metazoa; Chordata; Mammalia; Rodentia; Sciuridae. RNAcentral also lists the same sequence under 1 other name. The record is from Rfam by way of RNAcentral.
GCUGGGCUCAGUGGGAGAGCUCUUGCCUUACAUGCAUGAGGCUCUGGGUUCCAUCCCCAGCACAGCA